GUGUCUGAGUGCUUGACUGCAAGAUGGGCAGUUGACUUUGGAUAACACGAUAUCCAAUGCCAUCUUCCGAUCUUGCACUCAAGCACUUAGGCAC
This is a non-coding RNA of Marchantia polymorpha subsp. ruderalis, 94 nucleotides long. The record is from the annotation of a GenBank genome assembly. Lineage: Eukaryota; Viridiplantae; Streptophyta; Marchantiopsida; Marchantiales; Marchantiaceae.